CUAGUGUCAUUUGCCGUCGGGAUGUCGAUAGAUGGAUUCGCCGUGCCAUCGAGUACUGUCCAGUGGAGCUCGAGAUUACUGUUCUCUUGAGUGUUUCAUAUCAACCACCCAAACUGUUUUCUUGUCAUCUCAAACGUUUGGUUCUUUCUGGUGUGUAUCUGGAGCACAAUUUCGGAGAGCAGCUCCGAUCUGAGUGCCGAGUCCUAGAAGAUCUGGUUCUCUGGGAAUGUCGUGAGUUCAGUGGCCUUCAUUCUGACACAUUGAAGAAGUUGGUUGUUCAUAGUUGCUCAAGUCGAGUUGCAGAUAAAUUGGUCAUCAGGGCUCCUUCUCUGGCUUCUCUGCGCCUCGAGCUUCCUUUUUACACCUAUAAAAAUGGUGUUUUAUUAGAUACAGAAAAGUUCCUUAUCGAGGCAUCGAUUUCUCUGACAUCUGAUCAACUAUCUCGAAGAGGCGAGGCUAUCCUUCUGGCGUCUGGGCAGCCUAUUCAAUGUGACGAGCUUGGAGUUGAAAAGUUUUAAUGCAAUGGCAAUUCUACAUAAGGAAUUUGAUAAAUCCCCAGUUGCGAACUUUAUCACUCAACUGGUGUUUUCACUGCAAACAUGAUGUGAACAAAUUCAAGGCUCUUGGAAAAUUGCUGCAGAAGCUUCCUAAUCUGGAGAAGCUUACUUUGAAAAAUUUCUGGGUAGGAUUGUUAUCUUAAUUUUUAAUAAAAAUAUAUGCCGAGUAUGUAACUCUGUAUAUCUGCAUCAACAUCUUACAUGACUUUGUGCAAUUGAACCGAAAGGGAGGUGCAAAUGGUCAACAAGGCGACCCUUAAAACGGAACAGAUCAUUUGAAGUUCCAGAACAAAUUUCAGUUUCGCCGCAACAGUCACCUGAGUUGUAAAUACCAUCAAUAUGCGCUACAUCUCACUUCUGGGUUGAGUUUUUUUGGGUUAAUGUUUUGAGGUUGUGACCAACUGACUUCAAUUUCUGUACUAAACUUGUAAGCUAUGAAGCCCAGCAACCUUGUGAUUUCAUUAAAGCAGGGCCAUGCCUUUGUUUUUAAACAUGCCCCACUGGUUAGCCUUACUGUUACUGUCUGAAUGCGUUACAUGUGCGGUUUAUCUCUUGCCAGCAACCCAAUGCACAGUGUAACUUUCUUUGUUAGAGGAUGAUGACAUGAUAAUACUUUUUUUUCCUCGAACGAUGACAUGAUAUUGCUCGUAGUUUGUCUCUCUAGACCCUUCUUACCCCCUUCUCAAAUAAUAGGGAUCGCACCUGCCCCACUUCUUUUUUUAGGGGAAAUAUUUUGUGAUUAAUUUCUGUGGAUGAUUUAACAAGUCGUGUCUUGAUUUCAGGUGAGGCCAGCUGUAGGACCAAAUGAAUUUCCUAUACUUGAAAACUUGAGAACCUUAUUGCUGGAUGAGUGUGAUUUGCGCGACAACAUCCGAUUACUGCUCCACUUUCUACAGAGCUCUCCUAAUUUGGAAAAGCUCACAGUACGGCUUUGCAAGCUACCCAAAAUUUUCCCAUGUGGGGAAGGAAAAGCCAGGUAGGAGAAGAGAUAUUGUCAGUUCCAGAACCUUGUUCGUUUCAAGUGGCAGAAGCUAAAGUCCACUGAAAUCAUCUACAAAAACGGUAACAAAAUCCAGGGACUGGUUAGUCUUUUUCUGGGCAUCUCAGGCUGUGCACCAAAGAAUACUAUAACACUUACGAAGUAUGAAGAAGAAGAAGAAGAAGAAGAAGGAGGAGGAGGAGGAGGAGGAGGAGGAGGAGGAGACUGAGCCUUACUCUAGGCAGUAGACCAGUAGUAUUCUUGUGUGUGUGUACCGCGGGCUAUUUUCAGAUAAACCAUCUAAUAUACGGGCCACGAGUUUACUUCUGACAUUUUCUAUAUAACUAAAGGAUGUGCUGCAUGGUAUAUUGAGGCGUCCAGUUGGAAUGGAGGAUGCGAUCCCAAAUUGGAGAA
Molecule: RNA transcript, 1950 nt
Organism: Panicum hallii
Lineage: Eukaryota; Viridiplantae; Streptophyta; Magnoliopsida; Poales; Poaceae
Gene name: MEIOTIC F-BOX protein MOF-like
Exons: 4
Source: RefSeq, a predicted model, not a curated record